CCAUGCGGUCUCUUUACUGUUCGAGCCUGAGGAAGACAGGCGCAAGUAACCCGCCAUGCCCGUUGCCAGGAGUUGGGUUUGUCGCAAGACAUACGUUACCCCCCGCCGUCCCUUCGAGAAGUCCCGUCUCGACCAGGAGUUGAAACUCAUUGGUGAAUAUGGACUGAGGAACAAGAGAGAAGUGUGGAGGGUCAAGUUCACUCUUGCCAAGAUCCGCAAAGCUGCCAGAGAGCUACUCACCCUGGAUGAGAAGGAUGCCAAGCGUCUCUUUGAAGGCAACGCCCUGCUCAGGCGUCUGGUGAGGAUCGGUGUGCUGGACGAGGGCAAGAUGAAGCUGGAUUACAUCCUGGGCCUGAAGGUUGAGGAUUUCCUGGAGAGGAGGCUGCAGACUCAGGUGUUCAAGCUGGGCCUGGCCAAGAGCAUCCACCAUGCCCGUGUGCUGAUCCGCCAGAGGCACAUCCGUGGCCCAAGCUUUGCCCCUUGCUGAGCGGGGAAUUAAAAGUAUUUCCGCAAGGUCAAUUCAGCAAUUAAGCUGUAUACCUUGUCAGUAAGACUGCCCAGACCCUAAGCAGAUGAGCGAGACUUGGGGCUUUAAUGCGGUCAUGGCUUUUGGGCUGUCAGUGUGCGCAAGCAGGUCGUGAACAUCCCAUCCUUUGUGGUGAGGCUGGACAGCCAGAAGCACAUUGACUUCUCCCUGCGCUCUCCAUACGGUGGCGGUCGCCCUGGUCGCGUGAAGAGAAAGAACGCCAAGAAGGGCCAGG
This is an RNA transcript of Alosa alosa (allis shad), 761 nucleotides long. It is a transcript of the gene named ribosomal protein S9, with no coding region annotated. Lineage: Eukaryota; Metazoa; Chordata; Actinopteri; Clupeiformes; Clupeidae. The record is from RefSeq and is a predicted model, not a curated record. The transcript is spliced from 6 exons.